Molecule: ribosomal RNA, 253 nt
Filed under: uncultured bacterium
Lineage: Bacteria
Description: partial 16S ribosomal RNA
Rfam family: Bacterial small subunit ribosomal RNA
Source: RNAcentral
UACGUAGGGUGCGAGCGUUAAUCGGAAUUACUGGGCGGAAAGCGUGCGCAGGCGGUUUUGUAAGCCAGAUGUGAAAUCCCCGGGCUUAACCUGGGAAUGGCAUUUGGGACUGCAAGGCUCGAGUGCGGCAGAGGAGACUGGAAUUCCUGGUGUAGCAGUGAAAUGCGUAGAUAUCAGGAGGAAUACCGAUGGCGAAGGCAGGUCUCUGGGCUGACACUGACGCUCAUGCACGAAAGCGUGGGGAGCAAGCAGG